RNAcentral lists this ribosomal RNA (562 nucleotides) under Saccharomycopsis malanga. RNAcentral's name for it is "partial large subunit ribosomal RNA". It matches the Rfam family "Eukaryotic large subunit ribosomal RNA", at positions 76 to 660 of the family's 3401-position model. Lineage: Eukaryota; Fungi; Ascomycota; Saccharomycetes; Ascoideales; Saccharomycopsidaceae. The record is from RNAcentral.
UGCCUCAGUACGGCGAGUGAGCGGCAAAAGCUCAAAUUUGAAAUCUAGCACUUUCAGUGUUCGAGUUGUAAUUUGAAGAAAGUCUCCUUGAAUAGUCCUUUAUCUAUGUUCCUUGGAACAGGACGUCAUAGAGGGUGAGAACCCCGUAUGAUUUUGGAUCCUAUUCUCUGUGGGAGUCUUUCGAAGAGUCGAGUUGUUUGGGAAUGCAGCUCUAAGUGGGUGGUAAAUUCCAUCUAAAGCUAAAUAUUGGCGAGAGACCGAUAGCGAACAAGUACAGUGAUGGAAAGAUGAAAAGAACUCUGAAGAGAGAGUGAAAAAGUACGUGAAAUUGCUGAAAGGGAAGGGCUUGAGGUCAGACUUGGUGUUUAAUGAUUAUCUUCUUUUCUUAAGUUGUGCACUCGUUUUUCACUGGGCCAAUAUCAGUUUUUGUAGUAGAGCACCUCUUGAAAUGUGAUUUCCUUCGGGGAGUGUUAUAGUCUUGAGACGAUCUACUACGGGGACUGAGGACUGCGCGUUAUGCUAGGAUAUUGGCGUAAUGACCUUAAGCCGCCCGUCUUGACCC